This 1356-nucleotide ribosomal RNA is filed under the name Salmonella enterica. RNAcentral's name for it is "partial 23S ribosomal RNA". It matches the Rfam family "Bacterial large subunit ribosomal RNA", at positions 1596 to 2925 of the family's 2925-position model. The record is from RNAcentral. Lineage: Bacteria; Pseudomonadati; Pseudomonadota; Gammaproteobacteria; Enterobacterales; Enterobacteriaceae.
AAUGCCCUGCUUCCAGGAAAAGCCUCUAAGCCUCAGGUAACAUCAAAUCGUACCCCAAACCGACACAGGUGGUCAGGUAGAGAAUACCAAGGCGCUUGAGAGAACUCGGGUGAAGGAACUAGGCAAAAUGGUGCCGUAACUUCGGGAGAAGGCACGCUGACACGUAGGUGAAGUGGUUUACCCAUGGAGCUGAAGUCAGUCGAAGAUACCAGCUGGCUGCAACUGUUUAUUAAAAACACAGCACUGUGCAAACACGAAAGUGGACGUAUACGGUGUGACGCCUGCCCGGUGCCGGAAGGUUAAUUGAUGGGGUCAGCGCAAGCGAAGCUCCUGAUCGAAGCCCCGGUAAACGGCGGCCGUAACUAUAACGGUCCUAAGGUAGCGAAAUUCCUUGUCGGGUAAGUUCCGACCUGCACGAAUGGCGUAAUGAUGGCCAGGCUGUCUCCACCCGGGACUCAGUGAAAUUGAACUCGCUGUGAAGAUGCAGUGUACCCGCGGCAAGACGGAAAGACCCCGUGAACCUUUACUAUAGCUUGACACUGAACACUGGUCCUUGAUGUGCAGGAUAGGUGGGAGGCUUUGAAGUGUGGACGCCAGUCUGCAUGGAGCCAUCCUUGAAAUACCACCCUUUAAUGGCUGGUGUUCUAACGUGGGCCCGUGAACCGGGUUGCGGACAGUGUCUGGUGGGUAGUUUGACUGGGGCGGUCUCCUCCUAAAGAGUAACGGAGGAGCACGAAGGUUGGCUAAUCCUGGUCGGACAUCAGGAGGUUAGUGCAAUGGCAUAAGCCAGCUUGACUGCGAGCGUGACGGCGCGAGCAGGUGCGAAAGCAGGUCAUAGUGAUCCGGUGGUUCUGAAUGGAAGGGCCAUCGCUCAACGGAUAAAAGGUACUCCGGGGAUAACAGGCUGAUACCGCCCAAGAGUUCAUAUCGACGGCGGUGUUUGGCACCUCGAUGUCGGCUCAUCACAUCCUGGGGCUGAAGUAGGUCCCAAGGGUAUGGCUGUUCGCCAUUUAAAGUGGUACGCGAGCUGGGUUUAGAACGUCGUGAGACAGUUCGGUCCCUAUCUGCCGUGGGCGCUGGAAGAUUGAGGGGGGCUGCUCCUAGUACGAGAGGACCGGAGUGGACGCAUCACUGGUGUUCGGGUUGUCAUGCCAAUGGCACUGCCCGGUAGCUACAUGCGGAAGAGAUAAGUGCUGAAAGCAUCUAAGCACGAAACUUGCCCCGAGAUGAAUCUUCCCUGAGCCUUUAAGGCUCCUGAAGGAACGUUGAAGACGACGACGUUGAUAGGCCGGGUGUGUAAGCGCAGCGAUGCGUUGAGCUAACCGGUACUAAUGAACCGUGAGGCUUAACCUUACA